This 88-nucleotide unclassified non-coding RNA is filed under the name Pseudomonas migulae. The record is from RNAcentral. Lineage: Bacteria; Pseudomonadati; Pseudomonadota; Gammaproteobacteria; Pseudomonadales; Pseudomonadaceae.
GUAGGAGCCGGCUUGCUGGCGAUGGCGUCGUGCCAGCCAAUACACACAUUCACUGACCCACCGCUAUCGCCAGCAAGCCGGCGCCUAC